ACAGGGAUUGCCUCAGUAACGGCGAGUGAAGCGGCAACAGCUCAAAUUUGAAAUCUGGCCUCUUUCGGGGUCCGAGUUGUAAUUUGGAGAGGAUGUUUCGGGUACGGUCCGGGCUUAAAUUUCUUGGAACAGAAUGUCACGGAGGGUGAGAAUCCCGUCUGGAGCUCGGACACGGCCUAUGUGAAACUCCUUCGACGAGUCGAGUUGUUUGGGAAUGCAGCUCUAAAUGGGUGGUAAAUUUCAUCUAAAGCUAAAUAUUGGCCAGAGACCGAUAGCGCACAAGUAGAGUGAUCGAAAGAUGAAAAGCACUUUGAAAAGAGAGUUAAACAGUACGUGAAAUUGUUGAAAGGGAAGCGCUGGCAACCAGACUUGCGCGUCGGGGUUCCCCCUUGCUUCUGCCUGGGUUACUCCCCGGCGUUCAGGCCAACAUCGGUUUUGGGGGUUGGUUAAAGGCCCUGGGAAUGUACCUACCCUCCGGGGUAGACUUAUAGCCCAGGGUGUCAUGCGACCUCCCGGGACCGAGGAACGCGCUUCGGCUCGGAUGUUGGCGUAAUGGUUGUCAGCGACCCGUCUUGAAACACGGACCAAGGAGUCUAACAUCUAUGCGAGUGUUAGGGUGUCAAACCCUUACGCGGAAUGAAAGUGAACGGAGGUAGGAAGCCUUUAGGCUGCACUAUCGACCGAUCCUGAAGUUUACGGAUGGAUUUGAGUAAGAGCAUAGCUGUUGGGACCCGAAAGAUGGUGAACUAUGCCUGAAUAGGGUGAAGCCAGAGGAAACUCUGGUGGAGGCUCGCAGCGGUUCUGACGUGCAAAUCGAUCGUCAAAUUUGGGUAUAGGGGCGAAAGACUAAUCGAGCCAUCCUUGGC
RNAcentral lists this ribosomal RNA (866 nucleotides) under Cyphellophora musae. RNAcentral describes it as "eukaryotic LSU rRNA". It matches the Rfam family "Eukaryotic large subunit ribosomal RNA", at positions 68 to 951 of the family's 3401-position model. Lineage: Eukaryota; Fungi; Ascomycota; Eurotiomycetes; Chaetothyriales; Cyphellophoraceae. The record is from RNAcentral.